Molecule: ribosomal RNA, 555 nt
Filed under: Triticum aestivum (bread wheat)
Lineage: Eukaryota; Viridiplantae; Streptophyta; Magnoliopsida; Poales; Poaceae
Description: partial small subunit ribosomal RNA
Source: RNAcentral
AUGGCCGAAUGCUUCAAUAGGGUGCUCAAAGGUGCAUGUGGAUUACCCGUGACGGCAAUAGUUCAAUACACAUUUGACAAGAUGAAUGCGUACUUUGUAAAGUACUCGAUGGAAACCGAUGCACAGAUACCGGGUGAGAACCCACGGAAGUACAAGUACAAGUUCCCACCCAAAGUUCAUGAAUGGUUGCUAUUUCAAUCACGGAAGGCAGACUCAGAAGAAGCUAUAUUAUAUGAUAAUGAGGAGUGGAAGUACGAAGUGAAAGAGCCAGGAGGAACCACAAACGAUGGCCGGCAACAUGGAGGUCGGGCUUUCAAGGUGUCGUUAACACAAUGUGAUUGCACUUGCGGGAGGCCAUUGUUGCUUCAUCUCCCAUGCUCACAUUUGUAUGCCGCCGGACGCGUUAGGAAUGUGGACAUCAAUCACCCACGCAGCGUGAGGGAGUCCGAGUUCUCAAUCAUGACGGUCAAGAAAACAUGGGCUCCCCGCUUUCACCCAUACUUUGACCAAUCACAAUGGCCGGAGUAUCAUGGAGUUCAACUAUGGCCGGAUCCG